Cavia porcellus (domestic guinea pig) is the source of this 475-nucleotide long non-coding RNA. RefSeq lists it as uncharacterized. The record is from RefSeq and is a predicted model, not a curated record. The transcript has 3 exons. Lineage: Eukaryota; Metazoa; Chordata; Mammalia; Rodentia; Caviidae.
GACAAACACAGCAUAUCCUAAAAUUCUUCUGUCUACAGCUCCCACAACUAUACCCUAUAAUUUCAUGAGGUUGAUAUUCAACGUCUUCCUGUCCUGGAUAUCAAACAAAGGAUCCUUCCUUUGUCAUCAAAGGAGUCACAACCAUGGCUGUGCAUGCUGAAACCAGGAUGUCUCAAGAGGGGCCAAGCCUGGAGCCCACUGCCCGGAGUCGGGGGCAAAGAUCCAAGGUUGCAUGAGUAUCACUUUUCAAGGGUCCUGUCAGGGAAGCCGGCUUGUAGACAGGAGGUCACAGCUCCAGAGGUGAAGAUGGCUCAGUUGUAGAGAAUGGCACAUAAUGAAAGCACUGCUGUUAACUUUCAUAAACUUAUGAAGAAUUCCAAGGGCAGCAAUCAAGUAAAUGAAGACCAGAUCACUGAUUAUCUGUCUCCAGUUCACUCUGUUUGUGAAUAAACAUGAACCCGCAAAUUUAAUUUCA